Molecule: transfer RNA, 965 nt
Filed under: Borreliella burgdorferi (Lyme disease spirochete)
Lineage: Bacteria; Pseudomonadati; Spirochaetota; Spirochaetia; Spirochaetales; Borreliaceae
Description: partial 16S-23S ribosomal RNA intergenic spacer
Rfam family: tRNA (bases 211-284)
Source: RNAcentral
UGMUUYUGGAGUGCGGCUGGAUCACCUCCUUUCUAAGAGAAAGAUAAACUAAGGCUAAUUCCAUUAACUCUUCCCUACUCUUUUCUUUUGAUAGGAGAGUUUUUAAAACCAGUGUUAUUUUUGUAAGUUUAAGAGAAGUUUGUGUAUUGAAUUUUUUAUUUUUAAUAUUAAAGAGCUUUGUUAAACUUAGACUUAAGUUUAGGUCAUUUUGGGGGUUUAGCUCAGUUGGCUAGAGCAUCGGCUUUGCAAGCCGAGGGUCAGGGGUUCGAGUCCCUUAACCUCCAUUGGGCUUAUGUCCUAAAUCGUAAUUAAGUAUGUUUUUAAGUAACUUUGUUAAAGUAAUUGUUGGAAUGUGAAACAGAGGAAGUUAAAAUUUCUGGGUUAAGUUGAGAUCUGUUGAUAUUAAGAAGAAUCUCUAGAAGCAAAAGCAAGCUUUCGAUAAAACCCGAAGUUGUUUCGCUAAAGUGCAAGGAUUAAACAGGAUUGUAUUUUCCAGUAGCCUAUUUUAUAAACGAUCUGCAUUUAGUAAAUAGUUUUUAGUUAAGAAAUAAUGUAGAUUGCUAAGUGUGAUGCCUGAAAGAAGGACAAGUAUUGUAGCGAGCCUAAAUCCUUGUUAUCGUUGCCAGUAUUUAGUGGUAGGGAUUCGGAUAAGACUGCCAUUUAUAAGUUGGAGGAAGGCAAAGAUUGCAUUAAAUCGUUAUCGCUCUUAUGUUUUAGGUUACAAGUUUGCCACAAUAACCCAAAAAAAGCUAAGCAAAAUGCUAUAAAGCAGAUUUCAGUUUGGAUUUGCCCGACACUCAAUGGCAUGAAGUUGUAAUUGUUAGUAAUCGUAUAUACCUUAAUAUAGAAAUUGAAUAAAUUUUUGUUUUUUUAAUUAUAGCUUAAAACAGUAUUGUCGUAAUUAAAACAAUGGAAUACAUUGGGACCAGGAUGAGUUGAACAUCCGACCUCAGGUUUAUCAGACA